CUGGCUCAGGACGAACGCUGGCGGCGUGCCUAACACAUGCAAGUCGAGCGGGGACAGGGCUUCGGUCCUGUCUAGCGGCGGACGGGUGAGUAACGCGUGAACAAUCUGUCCUAAACAGGGGGAUAACACUUGGAAACAGGUGCUAAUACCGCAUAAGCCCACGGCCUGGCAUCAGGCAGGGGGAAAAGGAGCAAUCCGGUAUAGGGUGAGUUCGCGUCCCAUUAGCUAGUUGGCGGGGUAAAGGCCCACCAAGGCGACGAUGGGUAGCCGACCUGAGAGGGUGAUCGGCCACACUGGAACUGAGAAACGGUCCAGACUCCUACGGGAGGCAGCAGUGGGGAAUAUUGGGCAAUGGGGGGAAAAACCCCCUGACCCAGCAACGCCGCGUGAGGGAGGAAGACUUUCGGGUCGUAAACCUCUGUCCCAUGGGAAGAGCAGAAGACGGUACCAUGGGAGGAAGCCCCGGCUAACUACGUGCCAGCCGCCGC
RNAcentral lists this ribosomal RNA (488 nucleotides) under uncultured bacterium. RNAcentral's name for it is "bacterial SSU rRNA". It matches the Rfam family "Bacterial small subunit ribosomal RNA", at positions 19 to 518 of the family's 1533-position model. The record is from RNAcentral.